UACAGAGGUUGCAAGCGUUGUUCGGAUUUAUUGGGCGUAAAGGGUCCGUAGGCGGUUUAGAAAGUCGGGUGUGAAAUCCCACAGCUCAACUGUGGAACUGCAUUCGAAACUUCUAGACUAGAGUAUGAGAGGGGUAAAAGGAAUUCCCGGUGUAAGGGUGAAAUCUGCAGAGAUCGGGAGGAACACCAGUCGCGAAGGCGUUUUACUGGCUCAUUACUGACGCUCAGGGACGAAAGCUAGGGUAGCAAACGGG
RNAcentral lists this ribosomal RNA (253 nucleotides) under uncultured bacterium. RNAcentral describes it as "partial 16S ribosomal RNA". It matches the Rfam family "Bacterial small subunit ribosomal RNA", at positions 524 to 776 of the family's 1533-position model. The record is from RNAcentral.